GUGUACCCUGAAGUGUUGUUUGAGGUUGCUCACCAGUGGUUCUGGCUAUAUGAGCAAACUGCAGGUGGCUCAUCCACAGCCCGUGAAGGGGCUACAACCCCACCUGCCCUGUAGCCCUCAGUAUCUCACUCACCCAGCUCACCCCGCCCACCCCAUGCCUCACAUGCCCCGGCCUGCCGUCUUCCCUGUGCCCAGCUCUGCAUACCCACAGGGUGUGCAUCCUGCAUUCCUGGGGGCUCAGUACCCUUAUUCAGUGACUCCUCCCUCACUUGCUGCCACUGCUGUGUCUUUCCCCGUCCCUUCCAUGGCACCCAUCACAGUACAUCCCUACCACACAGAGCCAGGGCUUCCACUGCCCACCAGUGUGGCCUGUGAGUUGUGGGGCCAGGGAACAGUGAGCAGUGUCCAUCCAGCAUCCACGUUUCCAGCCAUCCAGGGUGCCUCACUGCCUGCCCUGACCACACAGCCCAGCCCUCUGGUGAGCGGAGGUUUUCCACCGCCCGAGGAGGAGACACACAGUCAGCCAGUCAAUCCCCACAGCCUGCACCACCUGCAUGCUGCCUACCGUGUCGGAAUGCUGGCACUGGAGAUGCUGGGUCGCCGGGCACACAACGAUCACCCCAACAACUUCUCCCGCUCCCCCCCCUACACUGAUGAUGUCAAAUGGUUGCUGGGGCUGGCAGCAAAGCUGGGAGUGAACUACGUGCACCAGUUCUGUGUGGGGGCAGCCAAGGGGGUGCUGAGCCCGUUUGUGCUGCAGGAGAUCGUCAUGGAGACGCUGCAGCGGCUGAGUCCCGCUCAUGCCCACAACCACCUGCGUGCCCCGGCCUUCCACCAACUGG
Molecule: small RNA, 842 nt
Filed under: Pongo abelii (Sumatran orangutan)
Lineage: Eukaryota; Metazoa; Chordata; Mammalia; Primates; Hominidae
Description: processed transcript
Source: RNAcentral